GAAUUUUGGACAAUGGGCGAAAGCCUGAUCCAGCAAUGCCGCGUGUGCGAAGAAGGCCUUCGGGUUGUAAAGCACUUUUGUCCGGAAAGAAAUCCGUCUGGCUAAUACCCGGAUGGGAUGACGGUACCCAAAGAAUAAGCACCGGCUAACUUCGUGCCAGCAGCCGCGGUAAUACGAAGGGUGCAAGCGUUACUCGGAAUUACUGGGCGUAAAGCGUGCGUAGGUGGUUUGUUAAGUCUGAUGUGAAAGCCCUGGGCUCAACCUGGGAAUGGCAUUGGAAACUGGCUGACUGGAGUGCGGUAGAGGGUAGUGGAAUUCCCGGUGUAGCAGUGAAAUGCGUAGAUAUCGGGAGGAACAUCCGUGGCGAAGGCGACUACCUGGACCAGCACUGACACUGAGGCACGAAAGCGUGGGGAGCAAA
RNAcentral lists this ribosomal RNA (421 nucleotides) under uncultured bacterium. RNAcentral describes it as "bacterial SSU rRNA". It matches the Rfam family "Bacterial small subunit ribosomal RNA", at positions 359 to 772 of the family's 1533-position model. The record is from RNAcentral.